Molecule: transfer RNA, 73 nt
Filed under: Planctomycetaceae bacterium
Lineage: Bacteria; Pseudomonadati; Planctomycetota; Planctomycetia; Planctomycetales; Planctomycetaceae
Also listed under: 1 other name
Description: tRNA-Arg
Rfam family: tRNA
About the family: Transfer RNA (tRNA) molecules are approximately 80 nucleotides in length.
Source: RNAcentral
GCGCUUGUAGCUCAGGGGAUAGAGCAACGGUUUCCUAAACCGUAGGUCGGAGGUUCAAAUCCUCUCAGGCGCA